CGUAGGGUGCGAGCGUUAAUCGGAAUUACUGGGCGCAAAGCGUGCGCAGGCGGUUUUGUAAGACAGAUGUGAAAUCCCCGGGCUCAACCUGGGACCUGCAUUUGUGACUGCAAGGCUAGAGUACGGUAGAGGGGGAUGGAAUUCCGCGUGUAGCAGUGAAAUGCGUAGAUAUGCGGAGGAACACCGAUGGCGAAGGCAAUCCCCUGGACCUGUACUGACGCUCAUGCACGAAAGCGUGGGGAGCAAACAGGAUUAGAUACCCUGGUAGUCCACGCCCUAAACGAUGUCAACUGGUUGUUGGGUCUUUACUGACUCAGUAACGAAGCUAACGCGUGAAGUUGACCGCCUGGGGAGUACGGCCGCAAGGUUG
This 370-nucleotide ribosomal RNA is filed under the name uncultured organism. Its description in RNAcentral is "bacterial SSU rRNA". It matches the Rfam family "Bacterial small subunit ribosomal RNA", at positions 526 to 896 of the family's 1533-position model. The record is from RNAcentral.